Molecule: ribosomal RNA, 99 nt
Filed under: Sutterella megalosphaeroides
Lineage: Bacteria; Pseudomonadati; Pseudomonadota; Betaproteobacteria; Burkholderiales; Sutterellaceae
Source: RNAcentral
UGGCGACCAUAGCAAGGUGGCCCCACUCCUUCCCAUUCCGAACAGGACAGUGAAACGCCUUAGCGUCGAUGAUAGUCGGUUGUAUUUCCGGUGAAAGUA